UAGCAAAUUAUGAAAGAUCGGUGGAUGA
Molecule: non-coding RNA, 28 nt
Filed under: Rattus norvegicus (Norway rat)
Lineage: Eukaryota; Metazoa; Chordata; Mammalia; Rodentia; Muridae
Source: RNAcentral